Long non-coding RNA from Felis catus (domestic cat), 3782 nucleotides. RefSeq lists it as uncharacterized. The record is from RefSeq and is a predicted model, not a curated record. The transcript is spliced from 3 exons. NCBI's taxonomy places the organism in Eukaryota, Metazoa, Chordata, Mammalia, Carnivora, Felidae.
UGGGGGAGUGGGGGAGGGGGAGAGGGGGAGAGAGAGUCCCAAACAGGCUCUGUGCUACUUUGCACUGAUCUCCUGACUGAAAUCGUGACCUGAGCCCAAACCAAGAGUCAGAGGCUUAAGUGACUGAGCCACCUAGACGACCCUCUCAUGUUGGUAUUUUUACAAAUAUAUCUAUUUUUACUUAUUUUCUCAAGCUCUAUGCCCAAUGUGGGGCUUGAACUCCUGAGUUCAAGAGUCACACACUCUACCAACUGAGCCAGCCAGGUGCCUCUCUCAUGUUGGUAUUUUAAAAAGAAUUUAAUGGCUUUGUAACUUAAAGCAUGAAACACCUGUAGCAGCAGACCGCCCUAGGCCUCCUGGUCCUUGUCUUAGCUGGCAUGGAUUUUUUUAUACAAAGGUCCUGGGGCUUCUUGCCCUACUCUGCGAGGAAAGGGCCACCCUCUUGGCAGCCCCAGAACAAGAGCCCCUGCACAGUUCAGGGCCUGGGGCGGGCGGGUUGCGGACAAAUUCUAACCAGAAAGCCAUAGAGAAGAAACUUCUAAAGUCGGAGGCUGAAAACAUUCACAGGAAACAAACUGCUGCUUGACGGCCCAAAAGAAGGAUGUAAAAGCUACACUGACCCUUCGCAAAGGCACACCCCACAGCCAGUGCACACCUGGGCCCUACGAGUUGUCUGACCAGUGUCCUGGGAGCUUUCGACAGCUCAGAAGGAAGCCAAGGCCCUCUGAGCCCUCUGAGACUUCACAUACAAGGGGGAGAACAGUUGGCUGCAAAGUGGCUUCCUGACUCCAGGCUGGAGGGAAGAAGAGACUGGGGCCACCAGCCUGGUCAACUGUAGCUGUCAGGGUUCGUGUCAUCUGGCAGAAAGUAGCGCUGUAAAGCAGGCUGCAGGAGCAGUGGGGGCAGCGGACGAGCAGGCCUGGGCCAGGCCGGGGGGAAGGGACGAAUGUCCACCCUCGGCAGGGGCAGUUUCAGCAUGCGGAUGGAGCCAUGGAGGGCACUGCCCACCCGGAGCCGGGACGGCAUCCGGCCUGUGGGCCAGCAGGACAGUGAGGUCUCAGGCUGAGGUGGAAGUCAAGGUCUGGUUCUCCCCCUGUCCCUACUCACCUCUUAGUCUCAUCGGAGACCUCUGGACCUUGGCCUCCUGAAGCCGGAGGAUAGGAUAGUGCCUGGAGGGGUAAGGAAGUGGGUUUGGCCCCGUCAGCCCCUCAGCUGCCCCACACAGGCCCUGUCCCGGCCUGGUGGCCCCCUCACCAGCGAUCCCAGGGCUGUGGUAGCACUGUGUUGGGCACAGGUGGGCGCAAGCUCAGGCAUGGGCUCUCGGGCUCCUGCUGCAGGGGACUCUGCUGCCGGGCCCGCUGCUGCUCACAGAAGAAGUUGAGCGCAUCGAUCGGCCCCAGGUCCAGCAUCUGCGACUGUGACCAGUCCGUCUGCUCCAGUGGCAGUGGCUUAUCCGGCAGCGCAGUGGGUACUGAGGGGUGCAAAUGGACCUCGGACGAGGGGCAGAAGUGUCGCAGUGUCUCUGACAGCGUGCGUCUGGUCCGCCAGAAGCACAUUGGUGGAAGCAUUUGCUGGGCCUGGGACUCAAGGGUGGCCACGUCCAGCUCCCCAGGUGAGACCACCAGUGAGGGGGCCCAGGAAUGGGCUGAGGGUGUCACUGAGACAUGAAAAGGUGACCCAGAAAGCACGGAAAUCUGAGACGGGGCCUCCUUGGGAGGAGGGUAAAGUGCCGAGGUCCUGGAGACCUUGGGCAGCACCUCUGACAACUCGGCUACUACAGAAGGCUGCAAGGAUUCCAUCUGUGGGGGAAACAGCCAGUUGGAGAUGCCGCCAAGCCCAAGGCAGAGGCUCUCCCUCCCCCAGCAGGGAGGCCUGAGUGGUGCUGCCCCUGGCCCCAAGCUCCAGACCUGGCUGCAGACUGCUUCCUGGGGAGGAGCAGGAAGAUCCCCAGAGAUGGGGGUUUGGGGGACAACAGGAGAGGACCAAUGAGCACAGGCACAGAGCAAGCCGAAGAGCCAGCCAGCCGUACCUGGAUCCCCCCCACCCCGACUUGGGAAAAGCCUAGGGAAAAGACAAGAGGCUCCACUGGCAAGUGGCCUGCCCGCCCCCCCCCCCCCCCCCAUCCACCGGGACCUGUAGCCGCUCCAUCAUUUCCUCCAGCUUCUGGCAGCAGCGUUGGCGCAGUGCAGCCUUGCAGUUGGCGUCCGGGCCCUGGACCCAGGUCGUCAUCUCCUUGAACAGGAAGCCCUGCGGAUCCUGAAGGCCUAGCCCUUCGAGCAGCUUCUUGAGCCAGGGCCUGGGACAGUGGUGAGCAGCUAGCUUAUCCAGAAGCCUUCCUCAGCUGGUGGUGAGGAUGAGUAGGGAGCAAAACUCACCGGCAGGAGGCUGGCGAGUAGAGGAAGUAGGACAUGAGCUCCAGCACCACCUCGUGGGACUCCAGGGAGCAGACCAGAAGGAGCUGCAACGCCAGCAUCACGAACUGCUUCUGCGUCUGGUCCUGAGCGCAGAGGGGCGAAGCAGCCGGGCAGCAGCCGCAGCAGCGCUCCCAGGAUGUGCACGCGGUCUGCCCAGGAGGCCUCGUCCAGCAGGUCCAUGAGCAGCGAGGCCAGGCCCUCCACCGUGCCCACUUCGGGAUACACCUGUGAUACCCAGCGCCGAGGCCCUGUUCCCUGCACUGUCCACCUCCCCGCCAGCCUGUGCUUCCCAGGUGCCCGAGACCCCCGAACCUUCAGGUUGAAGAUGGGGAACAGCUUUUUGAACCAGUUCUGGCAGACGAAAAACUGCAGAAACCUGGGCAGAUGGCCGUAGCGCUCUUCCCAGAGCGAGCGCCUGAAGGGGUACGAGGGGCCGCUCGAGGCCUGGGUCCCGGCGGAGGCGUCACGAGAGUGCAAGGGCUCCGGGGUCCAAUCCUCGGGGCUCUGCGGGGCAGCGGCAGCAGCUGCAGGCCCCCCUCUCCGCUCCUGACCUUGGCAGCCCCGGGGCCUAGUGGGUGCCUACCUUGGCCUCCUCCAACUCGGAGAGGUGCCCGCGUGGGCUCAGGGAGUCGGAGGCCCAGUCCAGAUACAGCUCGUCGUCGUCCUCCUCCUCCUCCGCCUCCUCUUCCCCCAACCACCGGAUCAGCUUCUGCUGCCACUUGGUGUGCCACUGCCUCCCGCGCCGUCGUGGCAGCCACAUGUCCUGGCUCCCACCUGGCUGCAGAGGGGAGAGCACGGGUGGCCGCUGGCAUGCCGCGGGAACUCGGGCCCCCUUCCACAGAGCCCAGGAGCGAGCCCCCCGGUCCUCCCUUGCCUGGUGUCUGCCGUGGCUGGUGAGCGGGGCGGGGGCUCCGAGGCCGCUGACCUCCCUGUGCGGCCACAUCUGCUGCAGCACCACGGAGUUGGGCACGCUGCCGGGGAAGUGGACGGGCCUGCGCGAGGGCUGCAGGUGGACACGGCGGGGUGGGCUGAGAACCCGAACUCCACCCGCCCUCCCACCCCGCUCAGUGGCCAGUCCAGCUCCGCGGCCGGGUCUCCGGGAGCUGAACCGGGCUCGUGCCCCCGUCCACGUGCACCUGUGUAACACCCCCGGACCGUACAGACCGGGAACUAAAACUUCAUCCUCCUUUUGAAAGAGGAACUGCAUGGAGCUGGGCAGAGGCUCAACAGUGGACUGCGGCCCUGAGCUCUCGGGCGCAAGUGGACACUCUAGCUGCUGGGUGGGUAGAACGUGCAACUCUUGAUCUUAGGGUUGUGAGUUCAAGCCUCACACUGGGCUUGAAAAUAAAAUCUUGCGAAAAAAGGACA